This 488-nucleotide ribosomal RNA is filed under the name uncultured bacterium. Its description in RNAcentral is "partial 16S ribosomal RNA". It matches the Rfam family "Bacterial small subunit ribosomal RNA", at positions 28 to 517 of the family's 1533-position model. The record is from RNAcentral.
GAUGAACGCUAGCGGGAGGCCUAAUACAUGCAAGUCGAGCGGUCUCGUCACUUGUGACGAGAUAGCGGCAGACGGGUGCGUAACGCGUAUGAAACUUACCCUACACAGGAGGAUAGCCUUGGGAAACUGAGAGUAACCCUCCAUAGUCUUGAGAUACCGCAUGGUAUUUUAAGUAAAACUUCGGUGGUGUAGGAUAGUCGUGCGUCCGAUUAGCUAGUUGGUGAGGUAAUGGCUCACCAAGGCGACGAUCGGUAGCUGGUCUGAGAGGAUGAUCAGCCACACGGGCACUGAGACACGGGCCCGACUCCUACGGGAGGCAGCAGUAAGGAAUAUUGGACAAUGGACGGAAGUCUGAUCCAGCCAUCCCGCGUGGAGGAAUAAGGCCCUAUGGGUUGUAAACUGCUUUUGUAUGGGAGCAAUAAGGUCUAUGCGUAGACUGAUGAGAGUACCAUACGAAUAAGCAUCGGCUAACUCCGUGCCAGCAGCCG